AACGAACGCUGGCGGCAGGCUUAACACAUGCAAGUCGAACGCUGUAGCAAUACAGAGUGGCAGACGGGUGAGUAACGCGUGGGAACAUACCCUUCGGUUCGGAAUAACUCAGGGAAACUUGAGCUAAUACCGGAUACGUCCGCGAGGAGAAAGAUUCAUCGCCGAAGGAUUGGCCCGCGUCUAAUUAGCUAGUUGGUGAGGUAACGGCUCACCAAGGCGACGAUCAGUAGCUGGUCUGAGAGGAUGAUCAGCCACACUGGGACUGAGACACGGCCCAGACUCCUACGGGAGGCAGCAGUGGGGAAUAUUGGACAAUGGGCGCGAGCCUGAUCCAGCCAUGCCGCGUGAGUGAUGAAGGCCUUAGGGUUGUAAAGCUCUUUUACCCGGGAAGAUAAUGACGGUACCGGGAGAAUAAGCCCCGGCUAACUUCGUGCCAGCAGCCGCGGUAAUACGAAGGGGGCUAGCGUUGUUCGGAUUUACUGGGUGUAAAGCGCACGUAGGCGGAUUCUUAAGUCAGGGGUGAAAUCCCGAGGCUCAACCUCGGAACUGCCUUUGAUACUGGGGAUCUCGAGUUCGGGAGAGGUGAGUGGAACUGCGAGUGUAGAGGUGAAAUUCGUAGAUAUUCGCAAGAACACCAGUGGCGAAGGCGGCUCACUGGCCCGAUACUGACGCUGAGGUGCGAAA
RNAcentral lists this ribosomal RNA (684 nucleotides) under uncultured bacterium. Its description in RNAcentral is "bacterial SSU rRNA". It matches the Rfam family "Bacterial small subunit ribosomal RNA", at positions 28 to 758 of the family's 1533-position model. The record is from RNAcentral.